UCCCCAUGAUACAUUUUGCUGAGUUGUAGAGCUGGAAUAGCUGAAAUCAAGUCCAUCAGCAUGAAAAACUUUCAAGGAUUUCAUCUUCCUCGUCUCCACAGGAAGCAUACCAAGAAUUGAGCAACCUGAUAUGAUUAGUGUCAGAUGAUGGGAGUUUUCACAGUGAUCAUGCACAAGUGACAUGAGAUAGCAAGCAUGGAUGAAAAACAGAACCCGUCACGCAAUUCGGAUGUAGUUCUCUGUUUCUAGGGAGAUUAUCUGUCACAGAAAUAUCUACGUUAAAAUCCCACAUUAAACAGCCUCAGACAUUAGAUUAAAGUGUAUUUAGUUACCUAAGACAUCAGAACGCAAAUCAGAUGGGUCGAUGAUAAGAAUUUCCCAGUAAUCAAGCACAUAAGACAUGAGAUAGUAAGCAUAUAUGACAGCUAAACCAUAUAUAUGACAAGUCAAAUUUUAGGUACCUCUGGAUUUAAGAACAAAUGCUCCACCAGCAUCUUUUCGGCAACUAUUUUCAGCAAGUACAGUACCAUUUUCCGGGUUUGCUGCCUUCGCACUUGCCAUGAAUAAUGAACUGGACUAAAUGCUGCACCAGCAUCUAUAUAAGUUUUAUACAUAUAACAUAU
Molecule: long non-coding RNA, 623 nt
Filed under: Daucus carota (carrot)
Lineage: Eukaryota; Viridiplantae; Streptophyta; Magnoliopsida; Apiales; Apiaceae
Description: long non-coding RNA (DCAR_LNC005925)
Source: RNAcentral